This 265-nucleotide ribosomal RNA is filed under the name uncultured archaeon. RNAcentral describes it as "partial 16S ribosomal RNA". It matches the Rfam family "Archaeal small subunit ribosomal RNA", at positions 717 to 982 of the family's 1478-position model. The record is from RNAcentral.
AGUCACUGACAUUAGAUACCCGUGUAGUCCAGGGUGUAAACGCUGCAGACUUGGUGUUGGAAGCCCUUUGGGGGCAUUCAGCGCCGGAGAGAAGUUGUUAAGUCUGCUACUUGGGGAGUAUGUCCGCAAGGAUGAAACUUAAAGGAAUUGGCGGGGGAGCACCGCAACGGGAGGAGCGUGCGGUUCAAUUGGACUCAACGCCGAAAAACUCACCAGGAGCGACGGAUAUAUGAAGGUCAAGCUGAUGACUUUACCUGAUUUCCCG